Eriocheir sinensis (Chinese mitten crab) is the source of this 496-nucleotide long non-coding RNA. RefSeq lists it as uncharacterized. The transcript has 2 exons. The record is from RefSeq and is a predicted model, not a curated record. Lineage: Eukaryota; Metazoa; Arthropoda; Malacostraca; Decapoda; Varunidae.
GAAGAUCCACGCCUCACCUGCGUCUGGAGAGGGUCAGGAGAAGAGCUCGACGGCCCCGCAAGUUUCAUCUUGUGUACUUGGAAAGGAGUCCCAACUACUGCCAAUGAAUCCCGCGGUGGGUUCGCUGGGCACCGUGGGUCGCAAAUGCAACAGAACUUCGUCAGGGCCAGGUGGCUGUGACCUGCUGUGCUGCGGCCGCGGGUACAACACUCACCAGUACACACGCACAUGGCACUGCAACUGCAAGUUUCACUGGUGUUGUUACGUGCAAUGCCACACCUGCAUGGAGGACACCGAGGAGAACAACUGCAAGUUGGGGGAGGCGGUGGCUGAGUCGUCAAAGUAACGGCCUCGUGUUCAGGAGGACGCGAGUUCAAUCCCCGCCCGGUGCCACCAAGCUGGGAUUUUUCAGCCGCCGCCGAGUGGCUUAAAACUACCCACAUGCUGUCCAGAAGACCACCUAUCAACCCGGACUCUAGAUUCUAGGAUCAAAGAU